RNAcentral lists this ribosomal RNA (700 nucleotides) under Aeromonas sp. RNAcentral describes it as "partial 16S ribosomal RNA". It matches the Rfam family "Bacterial small subunit ribosomal RNA", at positions 708 to 1434 of the family's 1533-position model. Lineage: Bacteria; Pseudomonadati; Pseudomonadota; Gammaproteobacteria; Aeromonadales; Aeromonadaceae. The record is from RNAcentral.
CCUCUASAUGCCUCCUGUACAAAGACUGACKCUCAGGUGCGAAAGCGURAGGAGCAAACAKGAUUAKAUACCCUGGUAGUCCACGCCRUAAACRAUGUCUAUUUGGAGGCUGUGUCCUUGAGACGUGGCUUCCGGAGCUAACGCGUUAAAUCGACCGCCUGGGGGAGUACGGSCSGCAGGUUAAAACUCAAAUGAAUUGACGGGGGCCCGCACRAGCGGUGGAGCAUGUGGUUUAUUUCGAUGCAACGCGRAGAACCUUACCUGGCCSUUGACAUGUCUGGAAUCCUGYAGAGAUGCGGGAGUGCCUUCGGAAUCAAACACAGGUGCUGCAUGGCUGUCGUCAGCUCGUGUCGUGARAUGGUGGGGUAAGUCCCGCAACGAUCGCAACCCCUGUCCUUGGUUGGCCRCACGUAAUGGUGGGAACUCGAGGAAACUGCCGGUGGAUCAACCGGAGAGGGUGGGGGUGACGUCAAUCAUCRUGGKCCGUUACGACAGACUAACCACGUGCUACAUGGCGCGUACGAGGCUCAGCUACAUAUGACAUCCAAAAGCCGUCGUAUCGGAUCGAUCUGCCACUCGACUCCGUUAAUUCGGGAGUCGCUAGUAAUCCCGAAUCAAAUGUUUACGGGUAAUACGUUCCGGGGCGCUUAKCAMGCGGCUGGUCACACAUGCAAGUGGGCGGACGMCGGAAGGRGAGAUC